UGGAGGGUGGCGGUUCCAGCCGCCGUAGACAACGGAAGGCGUUUUUUUCGCACUUAUCUUUCCGUCGUCCGUCUGGGAAGCGUCUACCUGUUCUUUCCGUGUGGGAACUCUGUUCAAAAUGUGGGCUUCCGGAGUUUGCGCCAGUGACCAAUGCUGCAAGGGGUUCUUCCACUUGGUGCAGCGCUUGCAGUGACCGUCCGAUGUGGAUACAAAAAUGAAGACAAAAGUCUAAGGAAAAUCACUAUAUUUAACAUCAAUUUUUAUAUGUGCAAGGAGGGCUAUCGCCCUAAUCUAGCAAUAACCAGCUGAUGACAGCUAGAUUAUUCUUGUUUGUGCUUUAUCAUGAUCAAAAUAAAUUAGUUUUGUUGUCUUGUACUUCACAGAUUCUCAAAUUUUGUAUCUAUCUUUCAGACAGUUGCAUCUUCUCCCCGUACAAGUGGCUUCUGACCCAGCAUUCAGUGAAAGAUGCCAGCUAUACAGUGCUUUCAGUAUCACCGUAUAGCUAUCAUGUGUUCAAAUAUUUAACGUUUAUAUUUUCUAUGUAGUUAAAUGCAGGAUCAUAUUUGAACUCAAACGGAAUUUCAAGAUUUCUGGAUGCGUGAUUCAGCCGUUAUGGAAGAAAAUUCCUUAAAUAUAGCAUCUUUCGUCGGCUUACCUUAUAGUGUAAAAAUCAAAUUGUGUAUGAAAAAUAAAUGCUAUUGUUGUCUUAGA
Schistocerca cancellata (South American locust) is the source of this 711-nucleotide long non-coding RNA. RefSeq lists it as uncharacterized. The transcript has 2 exons. NCBI's taxonomy places the organism in Eukaryota, Metazoa, Arthropoda, Insecta, Orthoptera, Acrididae. The record is from RefSeq and is a predicted model, not a curated record.